This 274-nucleotide ribosomal RNA is filed under the name uncultured bacterium. RNAcentral's name for it is "partial 16S ribosomal RNA". It matches the Rfam family "Bacterial small subunit ribosomal RNA", at positions 523 to 796 of the family's 1533-position model. The record is from RNAcentral.
AUACGGAGGGUGCAAGCGUUGUUCGGAAUUACUGGGCGUAAAGCGCGCGUAGGCGGUCUGUUAUGUCAGAUGUGAAAGUCCUCGGCUCAACCGGGGAAGUGCAUUUGAAACUGGCAGACUUGAGUACUGGAGGGGGUGGUGGAAUUCCCGGUGUAGAGGUGAAAUUCGUAGAUAUCCGGAGGAAUACCGGUGGCGAAGGCGACCAUCUGGCCAGAUACUGACGCUGAGGUGCGAAAGCGUGGGGAGCAAACAGGAUUAGAUACCCUAGUAGUCC